CAGCAGCCACGGGAAUACGGAGGGCGCGAGCGUUACCCGGAUUUACUGGGCGUAAAGGGCGUGUAGGCGGCCUGGGGCGUCCCAUGUGAAAGGCCACGGCUCAACCGUGGAGGAGCGUGGGAUACGCUCAGGCUAGAGGGUGGGAGAGGGUGGUGGAAUUCCCGGAGUAGCGGUGAAAUGCGCAGAUACCGGGAGGAACGCCGAUGGCGAAGGCAGCCACCUGGUCCACUUCUGACGCUGAGGCGCGAAAGCGUGGGGAGCAAACCGGAUUAGAUACCCCUGUAGUCCCUGUCUCUUAUAC
RNAcentral lists this ribosomal RNA (301 nucleotides) under uncultured bacterium. RNAcentral's name for it is "partial 16S ribosomal RNA". It matches the Rfam family "Bacterial small subunit ribosomal RNA", at positions 509 to 807 of the family's 1533-position model. The record is from RNAcentral.